RNAcentral lists this long non-coding RNA (680 nucleotides) under Nicotiana tabacum (common tobacco). RNAcentral's name for it is "long non-coding RNA (NTAB_LNC015031)". The record is from RNAcentral. Lineage: Eukaryota; Viridiplantae; Streptophyta; Magnoliopsida; Solanales; Solanaceae.
GGGAUCUUGGUGUAUUUUUCAGAUUUGCCACUCCAAAUGACGUUAGGCUUGCAGUAUUUAACUGCCUCUUUGUAUGCCUUGUCACCCCACGAACCGGUGACGACGUAAUCCACGGCGUCGUCCGGUGAGCAGAGGUUGAGGGGAAGGGCCGCGAAUUGGGUGGUGGCGCCGCCUUGGAGAAAGAGAACGGCGUAGUUUUCGGGGAUAUUAAGGAGGGUUUUGAGAUCUGAUUCGGCUUUUUGAAUAAUGGAGAGGAAUUCUUUGCCACGGUGGCUCAUUUCCAUGACGGACAUGCCACAGCCGCGCCAGUUGACGAGGUCGGCUUGGGCUUUUUGGAGGACGUUUUCAGGGAGGGUAGCGGGGCCCGCAGCAAAGUUGAAGACCCGAUCUGAGGAGGUGGAGGAUGAAGCUGUUUGGAGGGGGGUGGUUGUGGUUGAGCUGGCGGCUGAGCAGGUUAUAGAUACAGAUUUGUAUGUAGAGGUGAGGGUGGUGGUAGGGUGGAAAUGGGUGGUGGAGAAGGUGGCGAGGUGGGUGGUGGAUUUGAGGGAUGGGUGGUUCUGGUGGGUGGUGGGGUUGUUGAGGAGGAAAGAUUGGGAGGUGGCAGCUGACAUAGCCAUGGGUAUUAGAUUGUUGUUUGCCUAUUUCUUUUCCCUUUGGCUCUGGGUGUUGAGAGGGUUGGG